GUCACUGCGGGAAAUGCCUGACACCGGGAUCGCUGAGGAAUCCUGGGAUCACCACAGGACCCCGGGAUCACUCCUGGACUCCAGGAUCACCACGGAACACUGGGAUCACCACGGGACCCUGGGAUCACUCCUGGACCCCGGGAUCACCACAGAACACUGGGAUCACCAUGGGACCCCGGAAUCACUCCUGGACUUCAGGAUCGCCAUGGAACACUGGGAUCACUCCUGGACUCCAGGAUCACCAUGGGACCCCGGGAUCACUCCUGGACCCCAGGAUCACCACGGGACACUGGGAUCACCAUGGGACCCUGGGAUCACUCCUGGACCCCGGGAUCACUAUGGGACACUGGGAUCACCAUGGGACACUGGGAUCAUCACGGGACCCUGGGAUCAACGUGAGACCCUGGGAUUGCUGUGGGACACUGGGAUCACCACGGGACCCCGGGAUCACUCCUGGACCCUGGGAUCACUGCGGGACCCUGGGAUCACUCCUGGACCCUGGGAUCACUGUGGGACCCUGGGAUCAACGUGGGACCCUGGGAUCACUGUGGGAUCCUGGGAUCACUUCCUGACCCUGGGAUCACUGCAGGACCCUGGGAUCAUUGUAGGACCCUGGGAUCACUGUGAGACCCUGGGAUCGCUGCAGGACCCUGGGAUUGCUGUGGGAUCCUGGGAUCACUGUGGGACCCUGGAAUUGCUUCCUGACCCUGGGAUCACUGCAGGACCCUGGGAUCGUUGUGGGACCCUGGGAUCANGGACCCUGGGAUCAACAGGAGACCCUGGGAUCAUUGUGGGACCCUGGGAUCACUGCAGGACCCUGGGAUCAACGUGAGACCCUGGGAUUGCUGCAGGACCCUGGGAUCGCUGUGGGAUCCUGGAAUUGCUUCCUGACCCUGGGAUCACUGCAGGACCCUGGGAUCGUUGUGGGACCCUGGGAUCACAGUGGGACCUUGGGAUUGCUGUGGGACCCUGAGAUCAACGUGAGACCCUGGGAUUGCUGUGGGACCCUGGGAUCACAGUGGGACCUUGGGAUUGCUGUGGGACCCUGAGAUCAACGUGAGACCCUGGGAUUGCUGUGGGACCCUGGGAUCACCGUGGGACCCUGGGAUCAACAUGAGACUCUGGGAUCAUUGUGGGACCCUGGGAUCAACGUGAGCCCCUGGGAUCGUUGUGGGACCCUGGGAUCGCUGUGGGACCCUGAGCACGUAGAGCUGGGAC
Molecule: long non-coding RNA, 1218 nt
Filed under: Calidris pygmaea (Spoon-billed sandpiper)
Lineage: Eukaryota; Metazoa; Chordata; Aves; Charadriiformes; Scolopacidae
Description: lncRNA (ENSCPGG00000009886.1)
Source: RNAcentral